AUGUCUGUUCCCUACAGAUAUCCACCUGAGACAGAAUUGAAAACUGGUGAAGUCAAUGCACUUCCUGACUCCUCAGGACCACUCCCACAGCACAGAGCUCUCCUGCCACCUCUUUCACUUCCCAGGGGAUCCAAUAUGACACCUUGGGUGAGAAGCUCAGAGAGUUCAUGCUCCCAGAAAGGUUUGUCUCUCAUUCUUUUCCACUUACUACAGUAGCCACCCUUUGGAAGUGGAAGGGAGACUGGGACUGCAGUGAGUGCACGGAGUGCAGAGAGACACUUGUACUCAGAUUAUGCCACCAAUUUUUCUGAGUGUCCCUGGUCAACCUAGUCAACUUGCCUGUAAGAUAAAAGCAACCAGAUAGGAUUACAAUCCUCUGAAUCACUUCUGAGGGCAGUUGGCUCUAGUAACCGUGGCUUCCUGACAGCAAGACAGACUCUUUCUGGAGGGAGUAAUGCUUGUGUUAAGUUUUGCAUCUCAGAAGGUUUAUUUUUUGCUGAGAUGUAAUUCAUACAGCAUGUAACUCAUCCUCUUAACAGGAAGUGUUGCUCUGGUCUACCAUGAAUUCCAUGGACAUAGGAGACUGGCAGGCUGCAGUCCAUGAGGUCAUGAAGAGCCUGCAUAUGCACGCAGUCAUUGGUCUGAAUGAUCAUGUCCCUCUAAAUUCCUGUGUUGACAAUGCAUGCGCUGUGUGAUAAGAUGCACUGCUAUUAGGCGGUGGGGUCUUUGGGAGGUGAUUUGGUCCUGAGGGCAGAGCCCACGUGAAUGGGAUUAGCACCUUCACAGAACAGACUGCAGAGACCCUUGCCUCUUCCUCCAUAUAAGGACACAGAGAGAAGUGGGCAGUCUGUCAUUUGGGAGAGGUCUCUGAUCAGAACCUCACUGACAUGGUAUCUUGAUCUUGAACUUCCAGCCUCCAGAACUGUGAACAAUAAAUUUCUAUUGUUUAUAAGCCAUCCAGUCUGUGAUAUUUUGUUAUAGCAGUCUGAACAAACUAAGAUAAGUGGGUUUUAGUAUUAUAUAUCCAUAAGGUUGUUCAACCAUCAUUAGAUUAAUUAUAGAACAUCAUUCUUAAGAGAAACCAUAUAUCCAAUAGCAAUCACAUCCUGUACCCUCCUAAGUGCUGUUAUGGUUCACUAAUAAACUUUCUAUCUCUAUGGAUUUACCUAUUUUGAACAUCUCGUGUAAACAGAUUCAUCUAGUAUGUGGCUUUUUGUGAGCAGCUUCAUAU
This 1231-nucleotide long non-coding RNA is filed under the name Capra hircus (goat). RNAcentral describes it as "lncRNA (ENSCHIG00010019050.1)". Lineage: Eukaryota; Metazoa; Chordata; Mammalia; Artiodactyla; Bovidae. The record is from RNAcentral.